This 253-nucleotide ribosomal RNA is filed under the name uncultured bacterium. Its description in RNAcentral is "partial 16S ribosomal RNA". It matches the Rfam family "Bacterial small subunit ribosomal RNA", at positions 524 to 776 of the family's 1533-position model. The record is from RNAcentral.
GACGUAGGGGGCCAGCGUUGCUCGGAAUUACUGGGUGUAAAGGGUUCGUAGGCGGUGUGGCAAGUCGGGAGUGAAAUCUCUGGGCUCAACCCAGAGUCUGCUUCCGAAACUGCUGUGCUUGAGUGUGGGAGAGGCGCGUGGAAUUGCAGGUGUAGCGGUGAAAUGCGUAGAUAUCGUAAGGAAGACCAGUGGCGAAGGCGAGUUCCUGGACAGUUGCUGACGCUGAGGCACGAAGGCCAGGGGAGCAAACGGG